AAGGAUCAUUACCGAGUUCAUGCCCUCACGGGUAGACCUCCCACCCUUUGUAUACCUUACCUUUUGUUGCUUUGGCGGGCCGCCUAGCUACUGGCUUCGGCUGGUAAGUGCCCGCCAGAGGACCCAAACCCAAACCCAUUUAUAGUGUCGUCUGAGAAAAAAGUUUAAUAUUUAAAACUUUCAACAACGGAUCUCUUGGCUCUG
This 204-nucleotide unclassified non-coding RNA is filed under the name uncultured fungus. Its description in RNAcentral is "partial contains 18S rRNA, ITS1, 5.8S rRNA, ITS2 and 28S rRNA". The record is from RNAcentral. Lineage: Eukaryota; Fungi.